This is a non-coding RNA of Homo sapiens (human), 353 nucleotides long. The record is from the annotation of a RefSeq genome assembly. NCBI's taxonomy places the organism in Eukaryota, Metazoa, Chordata, Mammalia, Primates, Hominidae.
AUGCGGUGGGCCCCAGCCCUGCUUCUAGCUUUCCUGCCUCUUGCCAGUCAGAAAUCUUCCAACUUGCAAGGGAGAAGGAAGUCAGUCACCAGGCCAGCUGGGUCAUCUGCUGUAAUCACUUGUGAUCUUACUGUAAUAAAUACCUUCUACAUCCACUGGUACCUGCACCAGGCGGGGAAGGCCCCACAGCAUCUUCCAUACUAUGACCCCUACUACUCCAGGGUUGUGUUGGAAUCAAGAAUCAGUAGAGGAAAGUAUUUUACUUAUGCAAGCAUGAGGAGGAGCUGGAAAUUGAUACUGCAAAAUCUAAUUGAAAAUGAUUCUGGAUCUAUUACUGUGCCACCUGGGACAGG